UACGUAGGUGGCAAGCGUUGUCCGGAUUUAUUGGGUUUAAAGGGUGCGCAGGCGGCCCUGUAAGUCAGUGGUGAAAUACUCUAGCUUAACUAGAGGGGUGCCAAUGAUACUGCAGGGCUUGAGUACAGAUGAGGUAGGCGGAAUUGACGGUGUAGCGGUGAAAUGCAUAGAUAUCGUCAAGAACACCGAUAGCGAAGGCAGCUUACUGGGCUGUAACUGACGCUGAUGCACGAAAGUGUGGGGAUCAAACAGG
RNAcentral lists this ribosomal RNA (253 nucleotides) under uncultured bacterium. RNAcentral describes it as "partial 16S ribosomal RNA". It matches the Rfam family "Bacterial small subunit ribosomal RNA", at positions 524 to 776 of the family's 1533-position model. The record is from RNAcentral.